Molecule: transfer RNA, 77 nt
Filed under: Desulfobulbaceae bacterium
Lineage: Bacteria; Pseudomonadati; Thermodesulfobacteriota; Desulfobulbia; Desulfobulbales; Desulfobulbaceae
Description: tRNA-Arg
Rfam family: tRNA
About the family: Transfer RNA (tRNA) molecules are approximately 80 nucleotides in length. Their secondary structure includes four short double-helical elements and three loops (D, anti-codon, and T loops).
Source: RNAcentral
GCGCUAGUAGCUCAGCUGGAUAGAGCAACGGCCUUCUAAGCCGUAGGUCGCAGGUUCGAAUCCUGCCUGGCGCACCA